Molecule: small RNA, 81 nt
Filed under: Marmota monax (woodchuck)
Lineage: Eukaryota; Metazoa; Chordata; Mammalia; Rodentia; Sciuridae
Source: RNAcentral
ACCAGGCAUGGUGGCGCAUGCCUGUAAUCCCAGAAGCUCAGGAGGCUGAGACAGGAGGAUCGAGUUCAAAUCCAGUCUCAG